This 287-nucleotide ribosomal RNA is filed under the name uncultured bacterium. RNAcentral's name for it is "partial 16S ribosomal RNA". It matches the Rfam family "Bacterial small subunit ribosomal RNA", at positions 524 to 805 of the family's 1533-position model. The record is from RNAcentral.
UACGGGGGGGGCAAGCGUUGUUCGGAAUUACUGGGCGUAAAGGGCUCGUAGGUGGCCAACUAAGUCAGACGUGAAAUCCCUCAGCUUAACUGGGGAACUGCGUCUGAUACUGGAUGGCUUGAGUUUGGGAGAGGGAUGCGGAAUUCCAGGUGUAGCGGUGAAAUGCGUAGAUAUCUGGAGGAACACCGGUGGCGAAGGCGGGUCUCUGGGCCGAUGUUACUGACGCUGAGAGCGAAGCGUGGGGAGCGAACAGGAUUGGAGAAACCCAUGGGUAGUCAGAACCCAAG